UUAAUUCGAUGCAACGCGAAGAACCUUACCUACUCUUGACAUCCAGCGAAUCCUUUAGAGAUAGAGGAGUGCCUUCGGGAACGCUGAGACAGGUGCUGCGAUGGCUGUCGUCAGCUCGUGUUGUGAAAUGUUGGGUUAAGUCCCGCAACGAGCGCAACCCUUAUCCUUUGUUGCCAGCACGUUAUGGUGGGAACUCAAAGGAGACUGCCGGUGAUAAACCGGAGGAAGGUGGGGAUGACGUCAAGUCAUCAUGGCCCUUACGAGUAGGGGCUACACACGUGCUACAAUGGCAGAUACAAAGAGAAGCGACCUCGCGAGAGCAAGCGGAACUCAUAAAGUCUGUCGUAGUCCGGAUUGGAGUCUGCA
Molecule: ribosomal RNA, 366 nt
Filed under: Shigella sp. FC1967
Lineage: Bacteria; Pseudomonadati; Pseudomonadota; Gammaproteobacteria; Enterobacterales; Enterobacteriaceae
Description: bacterial SSU rRNA
Rfam family: Bacterial small subunit ribosomal RNA
Source: RNAcentral